This 876-nucleotide ribosomal RNA is filed under the name uncultured archaeon. RNAcentral's name for it is "bacterial SSU rRNA". It matches the Rfam family "Archaeal small subunit ribosomal RNA", at positions 31 to 913 of the family's 1478-position model. The record is from RNAcentral.
UAUCGGAUUGAUACUAAGCCAUGCGAGUCAUUGCAGUAAUGCAAGGCAGACGGCUCAGUAACGCGUAGUCAACCUACCCUAUGGACGGGAAUAACCUCGGGAAACUGAGUAUAAUGCCCGAUAGAACACUAUUCCUGGAAUGGUUUGUGUUCCAAAUGAUUUAUCGCCGUAGGAUGGGACUGCGGCCUAUCAGUUUGUUGGUGAGGUAAUGGCCCACCAAGACUAUUACAGGUACGGGCUCUGAGAGGAGUAGCCCGGAGAUGGGUACUGAGACACGGACCCAGGCCCUAUGGGGCGCAGCAGGCGAGAAAACUUUGCAAUGUGCGAAAGCACGACAAGGUUAAUCCGAGUGGUUCGUGCUAAACGAACCUUUUGACAGUCCUAGAAACACUGUUGAAUAAGGGGUGGGCAAGUUCUGGUGUCAGCCGCCGCGGUAAAACCAGCACCUCAAGUGGUCAGGAUGAUUAUUGGGCCUAAAGCAUCCGUAGCCGGCUCUGUAAGUUUUCGGUUAAAUCUGUACGCUCAACGUACAGGCUGCCGGGAAUACUGCAGAGCUAGGGAGUGGGAGAGGUAGACGGUACUCGGUAGGAAGGGGUAAAAUCCUUUGAUCUAUUGAUGACCACCUGUGGCGGAGGCGGUCUACCAGAACACGUCCGACGGUGAGGGAUGAAAGCUGGGGGAGCAAACCGGAUUAGAUACCCGGGUAGUCCCAGCUGUAAACUAUGCAAACUCAGUGAUGCAUUGGCUUGUGGCCAAUGCAGUGCUGCGGGGAAGCCGUUAAGUUUGCCGCCUGGGAAGUACGUACGCAAGUAUGAAACUUAAAGGAAUUGGCGGGGGAGCACCACAAGGGGUGAAGCCUGCGGUUCAAUUGGAGUC